Cricetulus griseus (Chinese hamster) is the source of this 1310-nucleotide non-coding RNA. The record is from RefSeq and is a predicted model, not a curated record. Lineage: Eukaryota; Metazoa; Chordata; Mammalia; Rodentia; Cricetidae.
UUGCUUGUGGGUCAAGUUAUAGGACUCUCAGCUCCUCCUCCAGCACCAUGUCUGCCUGCAUGCUGCCAUGCUUCCUGCCAUUAUGAUAAUGGACUAAACCUCUGAAACUGCUCACCUACCUAGGCAUGACAGUGGGCUGGAACUUCCUACAUCAAUUAGUGAUCAACAAAAUGCCCCACGGACAUGUCCACAGGACAAUCUGAUGCAGGCAAUCCUCCAGUUGAUCCUCCAGGUGUAUCAAGUUGACAACCAAAAUUAGCCAUCACAGAGAACCAAGAUAAUGUGAUGAGAGGUUAAAAAUGAAGAUUCAAUCAACUGUGGCUGAAAUCUCUGGCUCCACCGUCACUAGCAGGAUUAUAGCCAGACUUCUGCUCUCUCAGGUGAUGCUCCAGCAGUCAACUUUGAUAACGCAGAAUUCCAAGUACCAUGAGACUGCCUUUGAACCUCCUGCAACAUUCAUUUGGCCAGGACUCUUGAAGCAAUCUGUGCAGUUUGGAAAUGCAAGGGUCUUGGAGAAAUGCUACACUUAGAAUUUCAUGGGAAGGAGGCAUUGCUUCAUGGGAGGAAGUAGUGAGGAAUAUGGAAACACCUGAUCUCUCUGCCUUCCAACUUCAAAUGUGUGCCAAACUCAAGACCUCCAAAUCAGGCAUGUCUCAGCGAGUCUUUCAUGGUGCUUCCAGAAGUGUAGGGUGACACCUUCUUGAGUGAUCCAUGAAAGCUCAAGUUUUUGUGUGUACUCUUUGGAUUAAAGACUGCCUGGCUCAGAAGAAGACAUUCUGGAGUUUGAAUCACAGACAUUUGAGGAUGCCCUUGGAUUUUUGAAUGCUGCCAAACCAAAUGUUAUGAAUUUCCGUUCAAGACAUCUAAGAAGCUGACACCAAGUCAAGACAAGAAGAUGAAGGCCAAAAAAAUAAAAUAGGAGAAGAGACUGAAGAAGGUAUACAGAGGAUCCAGGUUCGAUUCCCAGCACAAUCGUGGCAACUCAAAACUGUUUCUAGCUCCAGUUUCAAGAGACCUGACUCCCUCUUCCUACUGACCUCUAUGGACACCAGGCAUGCACAUGGUGCACAAUUCUGCAUGCUGACAAACAUUCAUACAUACAAAAUAACAUAAAUGUAUCUUUUAAAAUAUAACAAAAAGCCAGAAAUUAACUUCUCUUAUCUACCAAUGCCUUCUCCAUCAUAAUGUCAUAAUGCAAUUCAUUGCUCAUGUUUCUGGGGACAUUGAAGUAAACAGGCCUGCUGCACUGUAGCCAUACAAAAACUCUGUGCAGAAUACUUACUGAUGAAAUAAAUAGCUACAUUACUGAA